This 885-nucleotide ribosomal RNA is filed under the name uncultured Methanocalculus sp. RNAcentral's name for it is "bacterial SSU rRNA". It matches the Rfam family "Archaeal small subunit ribosomal RNA", at positions 18 to 910 of the family's 1478-position model. The record is from RNAcentral. Lineage: Archaea; Methanobacteriati; Methanobacteriota; Methanomicrobia; Methanomicrobiales; Methanocalculaceae.
UAGAGGCUAUUGCUAUCAGGSUUUGACUAAGCCAUGCGAGUCGAGAGGUGAAAGACCUCGGCAUACUGCUCAGUAACACGUGGAUAAUCUGCCCUCAGGUGAGGAAUAAUCCCGGGAAACUGGGGCUAAUGCCUCAUAGGAGACGGGUGCUGGAAUGCUCUGUCUCCGAAAGGUCCGCCGCCUGAGGAUGAGUCUGCGUCCGAUUAGGUUGUUGUUGGGGUAACGGCCCAACAAGCCUUUGAUCGGUACGGGUUGUGGGAGCAAGAGCCCGGAGAUGGAUUCUGAGACAUGAAUCCAGGCCCUACGGGGCGCAGCAGGCGCGAAAACUUUACAAUGCGAGCAAUCGUGAUAAGGAAACCCUGAGUGCCUGUCAAUGCAGGCUGUUCUGGUGUCUAACACACACCAGGAGAAAGGGCGGGGCAAGACCGGUGCCAGCCGCCGCGGUAAUACCGGCUGCUCGAGUGAUAGCCACUUUUACUGGGCUUAAAGCGUUCGUAGCUUGGUCGUUAAGUCUCUGGGGAAAUCUUUUGGCUCAACCAAAAGGCGUCUCAGGGAAACUGACGAUCUUGGAACCGGGAGAGGUAAGACGUACUUCGGGGGUAGGAGUGAAAUCUUGUAAUCCCCGAGGGACGACCGAUGGCGAAGGCAUCUUACCAGAACGGCUUCGACAGUGAGGGACGAAAGCUGGGGGAGCAAACCGGAUUAGAUACCCGGGUAGUCCCAGCCGUAAACGAUGUGCGUUAGGUGUGUCAGUGACCACGAGUCGCUGAGGUGCCGAAAGGGAAACCGUGAAACGCACCGCCUGGGAAGUACGGUCGCAAGGCUGAAACUUAAAGGAAUUGGCGGGKGAGCACCACAWCSGGURGAGCCUGCGGUUUAAUUGGA